AGUCGUGGCCACGUACAGCACGUCCUGGGCGCCCAGGCUUUCGCUGUCAGCAGUGAGCUCUUGGAGGCGUUCGGCACUGAGAACCAUGGUUGCGUUUGUCACCACCUCCUGAGAGAGGUUCCGAAGGUGUAAGGUUUUCUCAGACGCAAGACGCUCGCACGUUCCUUGCACGUUCGCCCAGUAGGCCCCCGUUGUGAAGUUGCCUUCGCAGCGCCGCACUGCAGGUUGACCCUCACCCUGAAUGCAUGUCUCCUGUGGUAUGGCUACUCCUCCAGUAGGAGUUGCUGG
Long non-coding RNA from Dermacentor silvarum, 288 nucleotides. RefSeq lists it as uncharacterized. Lineage: Eukaryota; Metazoa; Arthropoda; Arachnida; Ixodida; Ixodidae. The record is from RefSeq and is a predicted model, not a curated record. The transcript is spliced from 3 exons.